UACAGAGGGUGCAAACGUUGCUCGGAAUUAUUGGGCGUAAAGCGCAAGUAGGCGGUAAUUUAGGCCAGCCGUGAAAGCCCAUGGCUCAACCAUGGAAGUGCAGCUGGAACCGGAUCACUAGAGUAUCGACGAGGAUGGUGGAAUUCCCAGUGUAGAGGUGAAAUUCGUAGAUAUUGGGAGGAACACCGGUGGCGAAGGCGGCCAUCUGGGAGAUAACUGACGCUGAGUUGCGAAAGCAUGGGGAUCAAACAGG
RNAcentral lists this ribosomal RNA (253 nucleotides) under uncultured bacterium. RNAcentral's name for it is "partial 16S ribosomal RNA". It matches the Rfam family "Bacterial small subunit ribosomal RNA", at positions 524 to 776 of the family's 1533-position model. The record is from RNAcentral.